RNAcentral lists this ribosomal RNA (448 nucleotides) under uncultured bacterium. RNAcentral describes it as "bacterial SSU rRNA". It matches the Rfam family "Bacterial small subunit ribosomal RNA", at positions 330 to 795 of the family's 1533-position model. The record is from RNAcentral.
CCCAGACUCCUACGGGAGGCAGCAGUGGGGAAUAUUGCACAAUGGGGGAAACCCUGAUGCAGCGACGCCGCGUGAGUGAAGAAGUAUUUCGGUAUGUAAAGCUCUAUCAGCAGGGAAGAAAAUGACGGUACCUGAUUAAGAAGCCCCGGCUAACUACGUGCCAGCAGCCGCGGUAAUACGUAGGGGGCAAGCGUUAUCCGGAUUUACUGGGUGUAAAGGGAGCGUAGACGGCAGCACAAGUCUGGAGUGAAAUGCCGGGGCUUAACCCCGGAACUGCUUUGGAAACUGUGCAGCUAGAGUGCAGGAGGGGGGGGCGGAAUUCCUAGUGUAGCGGUGAAAUGCGUAGAUAUUAGGAGGAACACCGGCGGCGAAGGCGGCCCACUGGACGGUAACUGACGUUGAGGCUCGAAAGCGUGGGGAGCAAACAGGAUUAGAUACCCGUGUAACA